UCAGCACACUUCCCAUCCUUCAAUCGACGCCAAAGUGAGCCUCACCCUCCACAGCAGCAGCAGGAUUAUUAGGAGGAGAUGCUGGCGUGCGCGCGCCUUCUGAGGAGGAGGGAAGGGAGGGAAGCUCGCGCCCGAACGCUCGAAAUUCCUCCAAGGAACCUCUGCGAGCUUUUCUUUUUUCAUCACGCGCGAGCUAAAAAUAGAAACGGGGUUGGAUCGUGAUCCAGAAAUAGAUAGGGGGCAUCACUCCUAUAAAAGGCACACCAUUCAAGAGUACAGUGUGUGCACAGUUGGAAGAAGAGAGCAGACUGGCAGCUUUUCUGGAGGAAUGGACACUUUGCUCCUGUGUGGGUUUUCUUCAUGUGGCAUUUGCGUGUUUUUAAAGGAGCCUCUGCUGCUUCAGGUUUUUACUCCCAGGUUCUUCACAUCACACAUACUACACUGAGGCAGCAGCAGUGACCAAACCACAGAGAGGCAGCAGCUACAUUCCACCAUGUGAAUGAGGAAAAUCUGAGAAAGGGAAGUACGCAUUAGUUUCUAUCAUAUUCACUGCUGGUUGCUGUUUACGUCACUCAUGCCUUGCAUUUAUCUCCAUUUUGUGUGUCACCUUCAUUUACUUCUAAUUUUUGAGUCGUCUUUAGGUUGCAGGAUCCCAGACCUCACUAAACUAUCCACAUUAAAUCAACCUCUCCUUUAAAACUUCAUUAUUAUUGCACUUUUUCCGAGCAAAAUUAUCACCAGUUGCUUUUUUUUUUUUUUUUCAAAGUACCUGAGCUGAACCAUACAGUUCUAAGUCGCGUAAGGGAGACAUUUGUUCUAAUUUAUGUGGAUCACGACAACAAGGUGAAACAAAUGUGACACCGCAGCUUGAUACUACAACUUGUGAUGCUACAAUGAUGAUUCAUUCAGAGUUCUAACAGUGUAGCACGCUCUGGAACCUCCAUCACACUGUCAAUGUCAAG
Molecule: long non-coding RNA, 962 nt
Organism: Sphaeramia orbicularis (orbiculate cardinalfish)
Lineage: Eukaryota; Metazoa; Chordata; Actinopteri; Kurtiformes; Apogonidae
Exons: 2
Source: RefSeq, a predicted model, not a curated record